AUUACCCAAAUAUGUGUUUUGAGC
RNAcentral lists this small RNA (24 nucleotides) under Arabidopsis thaliana (thale cress). RNAcentral describes it as "ATSL059570". Lineage: Eukaryota; Viridiplantae; Streptophyta; Magnoliopsida; Brassicales; Brassicaceae. The record is from RNAcentral.